ACACAUGCCUAGUAAGGGUAAUACCAUGAUCACAAAGGCAGGUUUCCAAGGGUGAGGAGUAUCUGGAUAGCAUGUGCUGUCCCUUGAGAUUUCCCCAAAUAUAGGAAAAUUGACUGUAUAAAUUGUGGUAACAGAAAACUGCUUAUGCUUUCCC
This 154-nucleotide small nuclear RNA is filed under the name Erinaceus europaeus (western European hedgehog). RNAcentral's name for it is "U1 spliceosomal RNA (ENSEEUG00000023539.1)". It matches the Rfam family "U1 spliceosomal RNA". Rfam says of the family: U1 is a small nuclear RNA (snRNA) component of the spliceosome (involved in pre-mRNA splicing). Lineage: Eukaryota; Metazoa; Chordata; Mammalia; Eulipotyphla; Erinaceidae. The record is from RNAcentral.